UGGACCAAGUAUGAUCGUUCCAAGAAUAGUCCUGAGUGAUGAAAACAUGUCUGAAACUCUGAGGUCCAA
Balaenoptera musculus (blue whale) is the source of this 69-nucleotide small nucleolar RNA. NCBI's taxonomy places the organism in Eukaryota, Metazoa, Chordata, Mammalia, Artiodactyla, Balaenopteridae. The record is from Ensembl.